GACCCGGUGGUGUAGUGGCUAUCACACCUACUUUAAGUAACUCCGGUGCUUGACAUAAAUAGGAAGCCUUUGUUCGAUUCGAAGUCAGCUUU
Non-coding RNA from Mycena crocata, 92 nucleotides. NCBI's taxonomy places the organism in Eukaryota, Fungi, Basidiomycota, Agaricomycetes, Agaricales, Mycenaceae. The record is from the annotation of a GenBank genome assembly.